This 414-nucleotide non-coding RNA is filed under the name Nicotiana sylvestris (wood tobacco). RNAcentral's name for it is "Bacterial small subunit ribosomal RNA". The stretch from base 117 to 414 matches the Rfam family "Bacterial small subunit ribosomal RNA", at positions 1 to 398 of the family's 1533-position model. Lineage: Eukaryota; Viridiplantae; Streptophyta; Magnoliopsida; Solanales; Solanaceae. The record is from Rfam by way of RNAcentral.
GGCUUGCCUAGCUCAUAUUAGUAGGCGCCAUCACGACUCCCGAAGGUGAGAAAUCCGGGUCGUGACAUGGUCGAUACACCAUCUUUACAAAACAAAAAGAAAAAAAAUUAAAUAAAAACAUAUAAAAUUUAUUUAUAUAGUUUAAGGCCUUUUCUUAAGGUUUGGCUUUAGGCCACCAAUAUCAUUGAGCCGCCCCUGGCUAAUACCAGGCUGAGGAGCAAAAGGAGGAAUUUGCCUGAUAAGGGACUCGCAUUCGAUUAGCUAGUGGUGAGGCAAUAACUUAUCAAGGCGAUGAUCAAUAGCUGGUCCUAGAGGAUAGUUAGCAAUACUGGGAUUGAGACACGACCCAAACUCCUACGAGAAACAGCAACGAAGAAUUUUUUGCAACGGGCAAAAGCCUAAUGGAGCAACGCC